This 1042-nucleotide ribosomal RNA is filed under the name uncultured bacterium. Its description in RNAcentral is "bacterial SSU rRNA". It matches the Rfam family "Bacterial small subunit ribosomal RNA", at positions 8 to 1044 of the family's 1533-position model. The record is from RNAcentral.
AGAGUUUGAUCCUGGCUCAGAUUGAACGCUGGCGGCAUGCUUUACACAUGCAAGUCGAACGGUAACAGGGAGCUUGCUCCGCUGACGAGUGGCGAACGGGUGAGUAAUGCAUCGGAACGUGCCGUGUAAUGGGGGAUAACGUAGCGAAAGUUACGCUAAUACCGCAUACGCCCUGAGGGGGAAAGUGGGGGACCGCAAGGCCUCACGUUAUACGAGCGGCCGAUGUCGGAUUAGCUAGUUGGUGGGGUAAAGGCCUACCAAGGCGACGAUCCGUAGCGGGUCUGAGAGGAUGAUCCGCCACACUGAGACUGAGACACGGACCAGACUCCUACGGGAGGCAGCAGUGGGGAAUUUUGGACAAUGGGGGCAACCCUGAUCCAGCCAUGCCGCGUGAGUGAAGAAGGCCUUCGGGUUGUAAAGCUCUUUCAGGUGGAAAGAAAUCUCCUGGGUGAAUACCCUGGGAGGAUGACGGUACCAUCAGAAGAAGCACCGGCUAACUACGUGCCAGCAGCCGCGGUAAUACGUAGGGUGCGAGCGUUAAUCGGAAUUACUGGGCGUAAAGCGUGCGCAGGCGGUUGUGUAAGACAGAUGUGAAAUCCCCGGGCUCAACCUGGGAACUGCGUUUGUGACUGCACAACUAGAGUACGGCAGAGGGAGGUGGAAUUCCGCGUGUAGCAGUGAAAUGCGUAGAGAUGCGGAGGAACACCGAUGGCGAAGGCAGCCUCCUGGGCCAGUACUGACGCUCAUGCACGAAAGCGUGGGGAGCAAACAGGAUUAGAUACCCUGGUAGUCCACGCCCUAAACGAUGUCAACUAGUUGUUGGGUGGGUAAAACCAUUUAGUACCGUAGCUAACGCGUGAAGUUGACCGCCUGGGGAGUACGGCCGCAAGGUUAAAACUCAAAGGAAUUGACGGGGACCCGCACAAGCGGUGGAUGAUGUGGAUUAAUUCGAUGCAACGCGAAAAACCUUACCUACCCUUGACAUGUCUGGAAGGCCGAAGAGGAGGCUGUGCCCGAAAGGGAACCUGGACACAGGUGCUGC